Molecule: non-coding RNA, 24 nt
Filed under: Arabidopsis thaliana (thale cress)
Lineage: Eukaryota; Viridiplantae; Streptophyta; Magnoliopsida; Brassicales; Brassicaceae
Source: RNAcentral
AAACUACGCCUCCAAUUGAACCGA